Molecule: long non-coding RNA, 890 nt
Organism: Myotis myotis
Lineage: Eukaryota; Metazoa; Chordata; Mammalia; Chiroptera; Vespertilionidae
Exons: 6
Source: RefSeq, a predicted model, not a curated record
UUCCCUAGGCUUACUGUUGGGCAUUACUUCAUAGGUGGCCAGAGAAGACAAAUAAAUGAGUGAAUGAGCCAUCAUGUUAUUUGGAAGCUGGAACUCAGGUAAUUUUGGACUUCUGCAUACAAACCAGAGAAGCGGAGCUGCCGUCCUGUUCAUUGGAAGCUGUGUCUACUUUAGCUAUUGGAGCUUGUCGUCGAAGAUUUUAUGAAGAAAGAAUGACUUACCAACUCCUAAAAUCAACAACUUCAGGGCCCUCUGAAAAUCAGGGGUUACAAAGGAUCCCCGUUGCAAAGAGGGGAGGGCUCGCAUCCAGCUGUAGGCCUCUCAUUCAAGGUUCUUGCUGCAGCCAGCAGUGUCCUUGGAGUCUAGUUCAAAGCUGGAGAGAGUGAACCAGGGAGCCAGGAGCCAUUGGUGGAGGGGCUGGCCCGAAGGAAGUGAAGUAUUUCAGCCAGAAUGUAUUGACGCACGACCAGGAAACCACAAGACUGGUGAAAACCUUUCCAAGCCUGAGCCCUAUGAUCAAAAGAGGUGCAGGAAACAGCUCUGCCAAGAGUCCUUUCUGCUGCCGGCUGGAGCCCUGAGCCUCUGAUGCUUUCUGAGUCAACUCCCUGAGCAGAAGCUAUCGCCCAAGGAGGCAUUGCCCAAGCAUUUUCUUACUUUGCUCUGACGUGGCCCCACAGAUAUGUCAUCAGCGUGACAGUUCAAAAGGAAUGAUGCCUCCAUGACACUUGUUCCCUUACUACUCUUCAUGUGACCUGUGUGUCAGCUCUAUAGGACUUCCAGCAGCUUCAAGUUGGCUUCUCAUCAAGAUGAUUCAGAAAAUGCUGCUGAGCUGUGGUGCACAAACAAGGACAUGAGGUACUGGUGACUCAAACCUUAUCAGAUAGGCUGAG